This is a long non-coding RNA of Nothoprocta perdicaria, 870 nucleotides long. RefSeq lists it as uncharacterized. Lineage: Eukaryota; Metazoa; Chordata; Aves; Tinamiformes; Tinamidae. The transcript has 4 exons. The record is from RefSeq and is a predicted model, not a curated record.
AGGAAACUUCAAUGACUGAGCAUGACAGACUGGUUGCAGAUACACCCAAGGGUGCUAUGCUGCUGUACUCUUGUGUGGAAAAGCUCAUGCUGAAAUACUUGGUGAGAACUCAAACACAUACCUUCUUCAGCUGAAAACACUGUGGUGACUGAACUGAAUGGCCCUUCUCCUUUGUUGUUAUAUACACCAACUUUGACUUCAUAUGGUGAAAACGGGAGACUCUUAUAGGGAGACCAAGCAGAUCUCCCUCCAGGAAACAGCAGUUAGUUUAUUGCACUGUGUAGUAUCCAUUACUGCAUACAUGGAGAAAAGGCCAUCUCUGAGGAAAUGAGACUUUUCAAGAACCUUUCUUCUGAGAUGUGGUACAAGUGAAUUGCAACAAGUGAUUCCACAGAAGCUGGGAAGCUGGUGGAAGCAAAGGCUGAAAAGCAGUAAGAAGCUGUGCCGAGAUCCACUUUGUAAAUAAUUCACAGUAUACCUUGCAGUCCCCUCCACAGGAACACUGUAAAUGAAAGGCAGAGCUCCAGAACAGCAACUCUUAUCCAGAAAUUGAGCUCCACCAAAGAGUACUGAGGUCAGCCAUGUGCCCUGUUUGGGGCCAGAAGGCUACAGAAAGCUCCUCCGGAAAGUCCUUAAUUGAGGAUCUUUACUUUUAAAUUUACACUCUAAAAGCUGGCCUGGAAAUCUCUUUUGAAACAUCUUCUGAGGGUAGUAGUUGAGCACCUCAGUAGUUGGGCAGUAAAUCAGAGGCAAAAGAAAUUACUGUAGUUUAUCGGAAAGUAGCUAUGAAACAAGUUGGAAAUUCAUAAGAAUUUUUGUAAAGUUUUGUUAAACAAAAAUUGUCACCUUCAUUUUUCUAGGCAGUAUUUC